UGGCGGACGGGUGAGUAACGCGUGGGUAACCUGCCUUAUACAGGGGGAUAACAGUUGGAAACGACUGCUAAUACCGCAUAAGCGCACAGUAUCGCAUGAUACGGUGUGAAAAACUCCGGUGGUAUAAGAUGGACCCGCGUCUGAUUAGCUAGUUGGUGAGGUAAUGGCUCACCAAGGCGACGAUCAGUAGCCGACCUGAGAGGGUGACCGGCCACAUUGGGACUGAGACACGGCCCAAACUCCUACGGGAGGCAGCAGUGGGGAAUAUUGCACAAUGGGCGAAAGCCUGAUGCAGCGACGCCGCGUGAGCGAAGAAGUAUUUCGGUAUGUAAAGCUCUAUCAGCAGGGAAGAAAAAAAUGACGGUACCUGACUAAGAAGCUCCGGCUAAAUACGUGCCAGCAGCCGCGGUAAUACGUAUGGAGCAAGCGUUAUCCGGAUUUACUGGGUGUA
This 451-nucleotide ribosomal RNA is filed under the name uncultured bacterium. RNAcentral's name for it is "bacterial SSU rRNA". It matches the Rfam family "Bacterial small subunit ribosomal RNA", at positions 96 to 562 of the family's 1533-position model. The record is from RNAcentral.